RNAcentral lists this small RNA (520 nucleotides) under Pongo abelii (Sumatran orangutan). RNAcentral describes it as "processed transcript". Lineage: Eukaryota; Metazoa; Chordata; Mammalia; Primates; Hominidae. The record is from RNAcentral.
GCAUCACUUUGCCCUCAACCCCAUUUUCCGGCACUACACCAAGUUCUUUCUGAAGGAGAUCCUGCGUUUAGGCUUUAAAUCCUGUCUCUACUACCCUGUUUACCCAAAAUCCAGAGAAGGCAAGAUGAGUUAUGCUUUAAACCAUACAAACAGAAAACUAACAUUGGAACCUAAAAUUACUGUCAAUGCCAAGAUCAUUGUGGUUGGUGCAUCCAGUGUUGGAAUUUCCUUCCUAGAGACAUUGGUAUUUUGCUCUCACAUGAAGUUUAAUAAUCUUACCCUGAUUUCAACCCAUGGACUCCCAGGAAAAAAACUUCUGGACACUGAACAAAGGAAAUUUUUAGCCAGCGACCACUGUUUUAAUGAUAAAGAUUAUGCACUGAUGUCACUGUGCUCUUGGGUUAAUGUCGUGGUGGGUAGAAUGACUGGCAUAGACCGAGCAGCCAAGCACGUUGUGCUUUCCACGGACGAGAUCGUGCUCUACGACCACCUCAUCCUCUGCACCGGGCAGCAGUACCAG